Molecule: ribosomal RNA, 465 nt
Filed under: uncultured bacterium
Lineage: Bacteria
Description: partial 16S ribosomal RNA
Rfam family: Bacterial small subunit ribosomal RNA
Source: RNAcentral
CCUACGGGAGGCUGCAGUAGGGAAUCUUCCACAAUGGGCGAAAGCCUGAUGGAGCAACGCCGCGUGGGUGAAGAAGGUCUUCGGAUCGUAAAACCCUGUUGAUAGAGAAGUAAGUGCGUGAGAGUAACUGUUCACGUUUCAACGGUAUCUAACCAGAAAGCCACGGCUAACUACGUGCCAGCAGCCGCGGUAAUACGUCGGUGGCAAGCGUUAUCCGGAGUUAUUGGGCGUAAAGGGCACGCAGUCGGUCUUUUAAGUCUGAUGUGAAAGCCUUCGGCUUAACCGGAGUAGUGCAUUGGAAACUGGGGGACUUGAGUGCAGAAGAGGAGAGUGGAACUCCAUGUGUAGCGGUGAAAUGCGUAGAUAUAUGGAAGAACACCAGUGGCGAAGGCGGCUCGCUGGUCUGUAACUGACGCUGAUGUUCGAAAGCGUGGGUAGCAAACAGGAUUAGAUACCCCUGUAGUC